RNAcentral lists this ribosomal RNA (450 nucleotides) under uncultured bacterium. RNAcentral's name for it is "partial 16S ribosomal RNA". It matches the Rfam family "Bacterial small subunit ribosomal RNA", at positions 354 to 796 of the family's 1533-position model. The record is from RNAcentral.
GUGGGGAAUAUUGGACAAUGGGCGAAAGCCUGAUCCAGCCAUGCCGCGUGUGUGAAGAAGGUCUUCGGAUUGUAAAGCACUUUAAGUUGGGAGGAAGGGUAGUAACCUAAUACGUUGCUACUUUGACGUUACCGACAGAAUAAGCACCGGCUAACUUCGUGCCAGCAGCCGCGGUAAUACGAAGGGUGCAAGCGUUAAUCGGAAUUACUGGGCGUAAAGCGCGCGUAGGUGGUUCAGUAAGUUGGAAGUGAAAUCCCCGGGCUCAACCUGGGAACUGCUUUCAAAACUGCUGAGCUAGAGUACGGUAGAGGGUGGUGGAAUUUCCUGUGUAGCGGUGAAAUGCGUAGAUAUAGAAAGGAACACCAGUGGCGAAGGCGACCACCUGGACUGAUACUGACACUGAGGUGCGAAAGCGUGGGGAGCAAACAGGAUUAGAUACCCUUGUAGUCC